CCUACGGGAGGCAGCAGUGAGGAAUAUUGGUCAAUGGGCGGAAGCCUGAACCAGCCAAGUAGCGUGCGGGAUGAAGGCCCUACGGGUCGUAAACCGCUUUUGCACGGGGAUAACACCCUCCACUUGUGGAGGUCUGCAGGUACCGUGCGAAUAAGGGCCGGCUAAUUCCGUGCCAGCAGCCGCGGUAAUACGGAAGGCCCGGGCGUUAUCCGGAUUCAGUGGGGUUAAGGGGAGCGUAGGCGGGCGUUCAAGUCAGCUGUAAAAUCGCGGGGCUCAACCGCGCCCCGCAGUUGAAACUGGACGCCUUGAGUUCGCAACAGGCAGGCGGAAUUCGUGGUGUAGCGGUGAAAUGCAUAGAUAUCACGAGGAACCCCGAUUGCGAAGGCAGCCUGCCGGGGUGCGACUGACGCUGAGGCUCGAAGGUGCGGGUAUCAAACAGGAUUAGAUACCCCGGUAGUC
RNAcentral lists this ribosomal RNA (459 nucleotides) under uncultured bacterium. RNAcentral describes it as "partial 16S ribosomal RNA". It matches the Rfam family "Bacterial small subunit ribosomal RNA", at positions 338 to 795 of the family's 1533-position model. The record is from RNAcentral.